This 426-nucleotide ribosomal RNA is filed under the name uncultured bacterium. Its description in RNAcentral is "bacterial SSU rRNA". It matches the Rfam family "Bacterial small subunit ribosomal RNA", at positions 917 to 1344 of the family's 1533-position model. The record is from RNAcentral.
GGGCCCGCACAAGCGGUGGAGUAUGUGGUUUAAUUCGAUGCAACGCGAAGAACCUUACCAGGGUUUGACAUCCUGCGAAUCUCUUGGAAACAGGAGAGUGCCUUCGGGAACGCAGUGACAGGUGGUGCAUGGCUGUCGUCAGCUCGUGUCGUGAGAUGUUGGGUUAAGUCCCGCAACGAGCGCAACCCUCAUCUUUAGUUGCCAGCAGUUCGGCUGGGCACUCUAGAGAAACUGCCUGGGAUGACCAGGAGGAAGGCGAGGAUGACGUCAAGUCCUCAUGGCCCUUAUGGGCUGGGCUACACACGUGCUACAAUGGCGGUUACAAUGGGAAGCAAUAGGGUGACCUGGAGCUAAUCCCCAAAAGCCGUCUCAGUUCGGAUUGUUCUCUGCAACUCGAGAACAUGAAGUCGGAAUCGCUAGUAAUCG